This 242-nucleotide ribosomal RNA is filed under the name uncultured Bacillus sp. RNAcentral's name for it is "partial 16S ribosomal RNA". It matches the Rfam family "Bacterial small subunit ribosomal RNA", at positions 99 to 334 of the family's 1533-position model. Lineage: Bacteria; Bacillati; Bacillota; Bacilli; Caryophanales; Bacillaceae. The record is from RNAcentral.
CGGACGGGUGAGUAACACGUGGGUAACCUGCCCAUAAGACUGGGAUAACUCCGGGAAACCGGGGCUAAUACCGGAUAACAUUUUGAACUGCAUGGUUCGAAAUUGAAAGGCGGCUUCGGCUGUCACUUAUGGAUGGACCCGCGUCGCAUUAGCUAGUUGGUGAGGUAACGGCUCACCAAGGCAACGAUGCGUAGCCGACCUGAGAGGGUGAUCGGCCACACUGGGACUGAGACACGGCCCAG